UUCGGAUUGAAAUUUUAGUGACUGAGUGGCGGACGGGUGAGUAACGCGUGAGCAACCUGCCUUUCAGUGGGGGACAACAGUUGGAAACGACUGCUAAUACCGCAUGACGCAUGACCGGGGCAUCCCGGGCAUGUCAAAGAUUUUAUCGCUGGAAGAUGGCCUCGCGUCUGAUUAGCUAGUUGGUGAGGUAACGGCCCACCAAGGCGACGAUCAGUAGCCGGACUGAGAGGUUGAACGGCCACAUUGGGACUGAGACACGGCCCAGACUCC
RNAcentral lists this ribosomal RNA (270 nucleotides) under uncultured Oscillospiraceae bacterium. Its description in RNAcentral is "partial 16S ribosomal RNA". It matches the Rfam family "Bacterial small subunit ribosomal RNA", at positions 72 to 339 of the family's 1533-position model. Lineage: Bacteria; Bacillati; Bacillota; Clostridia; Eubacteriales; Oscillospiraceae. The record is from RNAcentral.